Molecule: ribosomal RNA, 252 nt
Filed under: uncultured bacterium
Lineage: Bacteria
Description: partial 16S ribosomal RNA
Rfam family: Bacterial small subunit ribosomal RNA
Source: RNAcentral
AACGGAGGGGGCGAGUGUUACUCAUAAUGACUGGGCGUAAAGGGUACGUAGAUGGUUAAGUAAGUCUUUUGUGAAAGGAGUGGGUAAUUCUACUCAAGGGCAUUUUAAACUAUUUAACUAGAGUUAUGGUAAGGAUAAUGGUACUUUUAACGAAGAGGUAAUAUUCGAUGAUGUUAAACGGACCACCAAAGGCGAAGGCAAUUAUCUGGACUUAACUGACAUUGAGGUACUGAAGCGUGGGGAUCAAAUCGG